GUGGCACAGUGGUUAAGCAUUGGGCUGCUAACCCAAAGGCAGGUGGUCUGAUUCCACUC
Molecule: transfer RNA, 59 nt
Filed under: Loxodonta africana (African savanna elephant)
Lineage: Eukaryota; Metazoa; Chordata; Mammalia; Proboscidea; Elephantidae
Source: Rfam by way of RNAcentral